RNAcentral lists this ribosomal RNA (253 nucleotides) under uncultured bacterium. RNAcentral describes it as "partial 16S ribosomal RNA". It matches the Rfam family "Bacterial small subunit ribosomal RNA", at positions 524 to 776 of the family's 1533-position model. The record is from RNAcentral.
UACAGAGGUCUCAACCGUUGUUCGGAAUUACUGGGCGUAAAGCGUGCGCAGGCGGUUUUGUAAGUCAGAUGUGAAAUCCCCGGGCUUAACCUGGGAACUGCGUUUGAAACUACAAGGCUAGAGUGUGGCAGAGGGGGGUGGAAUUCCACGUGUAGCAGUGAAAUGCGUAGAGAUGUGGAGGAACACCGAUGGCGAAGGCAGCCCCCUGGGUUAACACUGACGCUCAGGCACGAAAGCGUGGGGAGCAAACAGG